AGGUCACACAGGCCGCCUCCUCCGGGCCCUGCUCUGCCUCAGCCUCCUCUUCCUGGCGGCUCACCUGGUCUUCCAGAUCUGUCUGCACACUGUGCCCCGCCUGGACCAGCUCCUGGAGCAAAGCUGCAGCCGCUGGGAGAACAUCUCUCGACAUGUCGGGGUCACAAGACUGGACCUGAAGGACAUUCCCAACACGAUCCGGCUGGUGGCCCCUGACCUGGGCAUCCUUGUGGUCUCCGCAGUCUGCCUGGGUCUCUGCGGGCACCUCACGAGGAAAGCGCGGCAGA
Long non-coding RNA from Dipodomys ordii (Ord's kangaroo rat), 287 nucleotides. RefSeq lists it as uncharacterized. Lineage: Eukaryota; Metazoa; Chordata; Mammalia; Rodentia; Heteromyidae. The transcript is spliced from 3 exons. The record is from RefSeq and is a predicted model, not a curated record.